GUCGCCUCCUAAAAGGUAACGGAGGCGCUCAAAGGUUCCCUCAGAAUGGUUGGAAAUCAUUCAUAGAGUGUAAAGGCAUAAGGGAGCUUGACUGCGAGACCUACAAGUCGAGCAGGGUCGAAAGACGGACUUAGUGAUCCGGUGGUUCCGCAUGGAAGGGCCAUCGCUCAACGGAUAAAAGCUACCCCGGGGAUAACAGGCUUAUCUCCCCCAAGAGUUCACAUCGACGGGGAGGUUUGGCACCUCGAUGUCGGCUCAUCGCAUCCUGGGGCUGUAGUCGGUCCCAAGGGUUGGGCUGUUCGCCCAUUAAAGCGGUACGCGAGCUGGGUUCAGAACGUCGUGAGACAGUUCGGUCCCUAUCCGUCGUGGGCGUAGGAAAUUUGAGAGGAGCUGUCCUUAGUACGAGAGGACCGGGAUGGACAUACCUCUGGUGUACCAGUUGUCGUGCCAACGGCAUAGCUGGGUAGCUAUGUGUGGACGGGAUAAGUGCUG
Molecule: ribosomal RNA, 492 nt
Filed under: Staphylococcus aureus
Lineage: Bacteria; Bacillati; Bacillota; Bacilli; Caryophanales; Staphylococcaceae
Description: partial 23S ribosomal RNA
Rfam family: Bacterial large subunit ribosomal RNA
Source: RNAcentral